This 916-nucleotide ribosomal RNA is filed under the name uncultured archaeon. RNAcentral describes it as "bacterial SSU rRNA". It matches the Rfam family "Archaeal small subunit ribosomal RNA", at positions 1 to 918 of the family's 1478-position model. The record is from RNAcentral.
CCUGCAGGUCUCUGGUUGAUCCUGCCGGACCCGACUGCUAUCAGAGUGGGACUAAGCCAUGCGAGUCAACGUAGCAAUGCGUGGCGAACGGCUCAGUAACACGUAGUCAACAUGCCCAGGGGACGUGGAUAACCUCGGGAAACUGAGAUUAAACCGCGAUAGGUCAAGAUUUCUGGAAUGGAUCGUGUCUUAAAUCUACAUGGCCCCUGGAUUGGACUGCGGCCGAUCAGGCUGUUGGUGAGGUAAUGGCCCACCAAACCUAUAACCGGUACGGGCUCUGAGAGGAGAAGCCCGGAGAUGGGCACUGAGACAAGGGCCCAGGCCCUAUGGGGCGCAGCAGGCGCGAAACCUCUGCAAUGGGCGAAAGCCUGACAGGGUUACUCUGAGUGAUUUCCGCUAAGGAGAUCUUUUGGCAGCUCUAAAAAUGGUGCAGAAUAAGGGGUGGGCAAGUCUGGUGUCAGCCGCCGCGGUAAUACCAGCACCCCGAGUGGUCGGGACGAUUAUUGGGCCUAAAGCAUCCGUAGCCGGUUGUGCAAGUCCUCCGUUAAAUCCAGCCGCUCAACGGAUGGGCUGCGGAGGAUACUACAGGACUAGGAGGCGGGAGAGGCAAGCGGUACUUAGUGGGUAGGGGUAAAAUCCUUUGAUCCAUUGAAGACCACCAGUGGCGAAGGCAGCUUGCCAGAACGCGCUCGACGGUGAGGGAUGAAAGCUGGGGGAGCAAACCGGAUUAGAUACCCGGGUAGUCCCAGCUGUAAACGAUGCAGACUCGGUGAUGGGCUAGCCUCGUGUCAGCCCAGUGCCGCAGGGAAGCCGUUAAGUCUGCCGCCUGGGGAGUACGGUCGCAAGACUGAAACUUAAAGGAAUUGGCGGGGGAGCACCACAAGGGGUGAAGCCUGCGGUUCAUUGGAGUCAACGC